AGUGAACGCUGGCGGUAGGCCUAACACAUGCAAGUCGAACGGCAGCACAGUAAGAGCUUGCUCUUACGGGUGGCGAGUGGCGGACGGGUGAGGAAUACAUCGGAAUCUACUUUUUCGUGGGGGAUCACGUAGGGAAACUUACGCUAAUACCGCAUACGACCUACGGGUGACAGCAGGGGAUCUUCGGACCUUGCGCGAUUGAAUGAGCCGAUGUCGGAUUAGCUAGUUGGCGGGGUAAAGGCCCACCAAGGCGACGAUCCGGAGCUGGUCUGAGAGGAUGAUCAGCCAGACUGGAACUGAGACACGGUCGAGACUCCUACGGGAGGCAGCAGUGGGGAAUAUUGGACAAUGGGCGCAAGCCUGAUCCAGCCAGACCGCGUGGGUGAAGAAGGCCUUCGGGUUGUAAAGCCCUUUUGUUGGGAAAGAAAAGCAGCAGGUUAAUACCCCGCUGUUCUGACGGUACCCAAAGAAUAAGCACCGGCUAACUUCGUG
This 492-nucleotide ribosomal RNA is filed under the name uncultured bacterium. Its description in RNAcentral is "partial 16S ribosomal RNA". It matches the Rfam family "Bacterial small subunit ribosomal RNA", at positions 29 to 507 of the family's 1533-position model. The record is from RNAcentral.